GCUAGGGUCAGAUCCCUGAGCUAACCAUGUAAAAACCCACUCUUCCUUGAGCUGGCCGCCAGGCCAAACUGAGCAAUCGGGGGAGAAGUGCAGUGCAGUGGAGCAGCAGUGCAGUGGAGUAGCUUCAACAGCCAUAGGCCCAGGGAUUUCACAUCACAUUCCAUGAUGCAAUGCAGAAUACGGCUUCACACAGAACAAUCACCAAACCCAAUAGAUAACACGUAGCACAGCCAAACAUCAUGUAUCACAUGAAGAUGCAUGUGUGUUCUCCAGACGUGAUACCUUGUCACGGACCUGCUGUUUCGAUCUUCGCUCUCUCUCUCCCUACCACACCUGUUGUCUCAACCUCUGAAUGUUCGGCUAUGAAAAGCCAACUGACCAUUACUCCGGAGGUGCUGACCUGUUGCACCUUCUGUAACCACAUUAUUUUGUUGACUCUGCUGGUCAUCUAUGAAGAAUGUUUGAACUACAGUACUUGAAGAACUGUAGUAGGAUGUCCCUUGGGGGUAUCCGUACCUAUGUAGGACAUGCGAGGGUUAUGUUAAUAAACAGGCUGGAGCUAGAACCUCGUUGUCGCGCGUCUUUAUUUUAGAUCAUACUACAUGGUGUCAGAAGAGGUUUUAAAAUUCACAUAAACGUGAAGGAGGUACCAAGUAAAUCAUACUUUCAGGCUGUUUCAAAGCAGGGAGGGCACAGUGUUGGAGAUAAAACAGCGCAUAUCAUUAUUUUGCUAGCUAACGAGCAAGGACUAAGCUACUGCUAAGCAACAUGUUGCAAGAGGAAGAAGCUGGCGGGAUUUCAGGGUUUGCGACUCCAAGUUCAACGGGCUCUGGCGCAAACACGGACAGGCCAGUGGCUAGUGCUUUCCCAUUAGUCCCCCGGAGAAUUUUGUUUGUAUGGACAUACAAAACUGGCCGAAAUGAAUCAGUCGCUUUGAAAGGUACAGGGUAGCAUCAGGCGUAAACGUGAAAAAUGAGGCAUUUCAAGUUAAUACACUGAUCUACUCUAUGGGUGAUGAAGCCGAGGAUAUAUUAAAUGCUUCAACGUUGACCGACGAAGAGAAACUGAACUACAGUGCCGUUAAAGACUGUUUUGGAACGCAUUUUGUAGGGAGACACAAUAUUAUUUUUGAGAGAGUUAGGUUUAAUAUGCGCAAACAGGAGCAGGGUGAAACCACUGACAGUUUUAUCACAGCUGUUCACAAACUAGCAGAACAUUGUCAGUUUGGCGCGCUCAGGAAAGAGCUGAUCCGAGAUCGGAUGGUGAGGCAGAGAGAGCUGUGAAAACAGUCAAGGGACUGCUGAAAAAAACAAGGAUCCAUACAGGGCUCUGUUAGCUUACAGAGUUACACCACUGCAUCAUGGGCCGUCGCCUGCCGAGCUCCUGAUGGGCAGGAGGCAGCGUUCCCCAUUGCCUGUCUCGCCGGCUCAGCUUAAACCCCGAUGGCCUAACAGAAAGGCCUUCGCUGAGAGGGACAAAAGUCUGAAACAAACGCAAACUGGAGACUUUAAUCGGAGACACCAUGCUAAGGAGAGGCCAGAGCUGACCGAAGGUCAACGCGUGUGGAUUACAAACUCAAAGACACCAGCAAUAGUGCUGAGGAAAGCGGAUGCCCCACGCUCCUAUGUGGUGGCACAGGCUCAGAAGAGGUACGAAGGAACAAAACACACCUCAGAGCUCUUCCAGAUCUACCAGCCACACAGACCGAGGCCACAGAAAAUGCACAAAAAGAGGGUGAAGGAGAGAGAAUGCUCACAGAGCCACAAGCGCGCCCAAAAAGGGAUGUGAAGCCACCAGAGUGGCUGAAAGACUAUGUUACGUGAAGAGAAAACAUACUGCUGGGGAACAUACCCAGCAACAAGAGACUGUACCUAAGUUAAUGUUCAUACUGUGUGAUUUAAUGCUUUCAUACUGUUUCAGGAUGGGAAGUAGCAUGUUCGAGAAUAAUACUGGUUUCCAAAUUGCAUUUCAGUUAUGCUUCAGUGGUUAUGCAUGUUGAGUUCUUGUUCAUGGGAGAGGGGAAGAUGUAGUAGGAUGUCCCUUGGGGUGUAUCCGUACCUAUGUAGGACAUGCGAGGGUUAGGUUAAUAAACAGGCUGGAGUUAGAACCUCGUUGUCGCGCGUCUUUAUUUUAGAUCAUACUACAAGAACAAUCUGGCCUUAUUGGCCAUGUACGCUUAUAAUUUCCACCGGCACAGCCAGAAGAGGACUAGCCACCCCUCAGAGCCUGGUUCCUCUCUAGGUUUCUUCCUAGGUUCCUGUUUUUCUAGAGAGUUUUUCCUAGCUACCGUGCUUCUAAAUCUGCAUUGCAUGCUAUUUGAGGUUUUAAGCUGGGUGUCGGAAUAAGCAUUUUGUGACAUCUGCUGAUGUAAAAAGGGCUUUAUAAAUAAAUUGUACUGAUUGAUUGAUGAUUGAUUGUAUGAAAUGGAGUAGCAUCUAUCCAUCGUGUAAAAUGAACAUUGUGCACUGUCUCCAUGGAGUAUACUACUGCAGCCUUAGGCAAUGUAUAUUAACGUGGUGCAUAACAUUAUCUCAUAUCACAUGCAUGGCAAGACAUGAUUGAUGUAAUUAGAUGCUCUGGAGAGAUCCCACCCUCCUUCCCCAACACAUGUAGAAUGCUUAGAAACCACCAGAAACCUGUGAAAUAGAUCAACAUGUUUAAUCUCCUCUCAAGGUCUGUUGAUUUACAGUAUCUCAGAAUCAGGAACUGUCAUAUCCCAUGUGAUAUGUCAAAACAAGUUGAUACAUGUGUUAUCAUGGUGCAUUGGGUUUGUAUUUGUAUUUAUUGUGGAUCCCCUUUAGCUGCAGCAGCUACUCUUCAUGGGGUCCAGUAAAAUGAAGGCAGUUAUGCAGUUGUAAAAACAUUCCUAUACAUUCACAACAGAUUUCACAAAAUCCAUGUUCCUGUUUGAUUUCGGGGUAGGCUGUCAACAGCACGUACUGUGUCACUAUGAUAUGUAUUCUGAUCAAGUCAACAAUGCCUCUAGGCAUAUCUGACGUCAUGUAUUUGAUAUCUUUAUGUGAAGGAUAAUGUCCAUAUUGACAUCAGUUCAUUGUGUUUGAGGACGGUUCACUGACCGGUUUUCAACGGAUACGAUUAGAUUAGUUUAACAGUUACAGAAAAGCUACAGUAGCCUAUCAGAACUGCUACAGUAUCCGAGGCGCAGAGCCUUAAUUAACGGGCUACACAUAAUGGCUGACGACAGCCAGGUAAGGUUCACUUUAGCCUACGUUUAAUGAGCUUUAACGUUGUCCUAAUUCCAUCUUGUUCUAAUGGCAAGUCUGCCUUAAGUGCAGAAACUAUGGUUGAUAUUAGAAAAUAAGUAUGAUUGGAAGUUUAGGCAAGUAAUUCCAAUUGGGGAAUUGUUGAGGGAUGUUAGCAUACCAUAUUGCGCGUGUAGCAUUCGUGCCAUGGAGGAUUGUGCAGGCCGGGAGGUUGCUACAGUAUCCUAGUAUCAUGUAUGUUAUAGGGAUCAGAUCUGGCUGACUUUUUCACCUGAACUGCUCAUUGGCUGUCCAUAAUGAGCCCAGCGAGCAGGAUGUGUAGCUGGGCUCUGCAAUAAUUAGCUCCCAGAGCAAUUACAAAUAACUAUUAUUGUUUUAAAAGCGUCAUUACAACUAGCAACAUGACGGUCAGUCACCUCUAAGCAGGACUCAGUAGAAACGCUAUGUGUUGGAUUUGUCCAUGUCUCUCUAAAUUAACGUAGCUACCAUAACAGCCGUGGAGAGUUUAUACUACAGUUUUAAGGGAUCUCUCUGAAGGUUUUAGAUGAUACAGUGGUGCUUCGUCCUCUGGAUGAAGAACCAUACAUCUCGGCUUGGCUCCAUUGCAUUAUUAUUUGGGAAACGUUGACAUGCCAUUUGUGUUGGCGGAUGGAUGAAAAUAAUGUGAUUAUAGUAUCGUUAUACAUAGGCUAGCAGGAAAAUCCGCAUGAGAUAUCCAUAGAACUGAGCCCUGCUCCGUUUCAGCACCAUGGCACGGUCCCCUGACUCCAAGAAACGUGUCAGCUCUAUGCAGCGGACAGCUCCACAGUGCUGAAAUAGUUCAAGCCCCCUUGAACAUCUUUGAUUUGAAAUUAUUCUGCAAGUGGUUAUAAUUUAUUGCACGUCCUAGUUCUGCAGCUUUGCAACCUCAGAAUUAUAGCUAAUGGAUGGCAGCGAGUUACGUUUUUGUGCAUGGUGAUGAAUGACGACGCAUGAUAAACCAUAAAUUAAACGCAAAAACGUGCACUUAGACAUAUUUUCGUUUGGCAGAACUUUGACAAGCUUUGAUUUGUUUUCCAAUUACAUUGACAAUUCAUAUAGACAUUAGACUUUGGCCUAAUUGUGACAUCAUGUGUGUAUGACAUCUUUGGAGAAUGCUCUGGCUUCAGCCAAUCGGAAUCGAGUAUUCAACAAUGCUUUGGCAUAAUUCAAGGACGUUCAUAUUCACUUCAGUUGUUUGCCGAUGGUUCACUGACGUUUUUUCAAAGGAGGUAUUAGUAUUUCCUCUAAACAGCCUACAACAAUAAGCUACACAUCAUGUCAGAUGACAGCAAGGUAUGGUUCAUUUAGCCUAUUUUGAGUUUAGAAGAGAAAUUACUAACAAUAUAGUAGGUCACUAACACAGCAAUAGGUCUCACUGGUUUGAUCCAUGGACUGAAAUCUGACCACUAUUGCCGUUUUGUUUAAAAUAGGAGCGAAUAAGUUGUUUCAUAAAGUCACAACCUAGGACUGAUAUUGGUCUCUCAUUUAUCCACCAGAGCGUGAAAUGGGAGGAUCCCCCAGAUGACCAAAAUAAGGUUGUGGAGAAUAUGAAGGAUGAAACAGAGACAUAUGAGACCAACAAGAACAGGACAGGAGGCAAGGCUAAACGUAAAUCCAGUGGCUGUGCCAAGAAGACUUCCGUGGAGGAGGACUGCAGCAUUGGUGCAGAGUCUUCUCAGACACCCGGGUGUGGUUUCCGGGAAAGGGGAUCUAUCAUUGAGCAGCUGGAGAAGGAGGCUCAGAGGACUCUAAUGCCUUCUCUCAAGAUUGAGACAUGCUGUGCCCCAAUCCUCCUCUCCUUCCUGAGGAAUCUAACUGAUGAGCAAGUCCCAUGUCUUUUUCCAACCUCACAUACAACAACUCUGAAUUUAUAGUCAUAGUGCACCUUCUAACCACAAAGGGGAUUUCAAACAGUACACCUAACAUCACUGUAACCACACCCCUAACUCUUCCUGUAAAUCAAGAACAAAAUGUCUCAUGUACUUGCUAAUAGCUUCAUUAAAUACACGUUUAUUUCCCCUAACAUGGAUAUCUAGUGACUCCACUAACUCAACAUCAGUGUGCAGGUAAAAUAUGUUUCCUUUCUUUUCUUUUCUCUAGCCAAUGGAGAGUGAUUCAGCAUGGCAUGAAA
Molecule: long non-coding RNA, 5376 nt
Organism: Oncorhynchus kisutch (coho salmon)
Lineage: Eukaryota; Metazoa; Chordata; Actinopteri; Salmoniformes; Salmonidae
Exons: 3
Source: RefSeq, a predicted model, not a curated record